Molecule: long non-coding RNA, 1846 nt
Organism: Sapajus apella (tufted capuchin)
Lineage: Eukaryota; Metazoa; Chordata; Mammalia; Primates; Cebidae
Exons: 2
Source: RefSeq, a predicted model, not a curated record
UAUUACAUUUUAAUAUUGCUGCUGCAGCAUUAAGGAGCACAUUAUCAUCUACAAAUAUUUAUUAUGCAUCUAAUUUGUACAAGGUGAAAGAUGUGUGGAAAUUUAUAUUGAAGUAGUCUUUCAUAAAUAUUAAUGCUUUAAUGUUUUUAUAUUUUGUAUUACUCUAUUUUUAUCUCCUAAUGUAUUCUAUAUGUAAUAUAGAAUUUUAAAAUAUUUUAAUAUAAUUUUAAAAUGUUUCACUGGUCACCGUCACACUUUGCUGGUGUGUACAUUUGUAUAACACCUUUGAAGGGUAAUUUGGCAAUACAGUGUGCUUUGUUGGAUCUAAAAUGUCAUUGAUCUUGUAGGGGCAGCAAAAUUCCACCUCCAUCUUCUUAGCUUCCCUGCUGAGUCCAAGAAUUAAGCUGACAUAAGACAGAUCAACAGGAGAAAAGCAUACAAAAUUACUACCACAAGUUUUAGGUGGCAUUGGAGGCAUUAUAAAGAAACAGAGACCUGAAGAAACAUAGUCACUUACAUAUGGAUAAAGAAUAAUGCAAGAGUAUGUUCCUAAGAAGGUGCAAAAGAAGUAGUCCACCUCAAGAUCCAAAGUUAUUCCCAAAAAUAGCCUAAGAAAGCCAAGACCUUCAUUUUUAACAAGGUAUGGAAGAUUGAGACAGUUCCCUGAGAGAUGACGUGGUAAGUCACACUAAGAGACACUUUGUGUUUUCGAUGCCUCGCCAGAAGGCUAGCUGAGCUGCCUGACGCAAGCCUAAAAAUUCGCACCCCCAAUGGCUGGCAGAGACCAGAGUAAAUAUUUUCACUGGUCACAAAGCUGAGCUCUCAAAACAUAAAAGAAGAUGAAAGGAGAAUCUUACUGUGAUUUUGCUCCUUAUAAUAAAUAAUACAAAAGAGAGACAAGGAAAACAAGGAUCAUUCCUGAGAAUGUGGAUCGGUGACCAAAAUUUGGCCAGAACCAAAUUCAAAAGGGUCACAAUUUAAAGAACCAAUUGUUACAGACAUUUUUAUUCUGCCAAUCUGAAUUUGGAAAGGAAGGAAUGGGAAAAUGUUUUUGUUUUCCUCUCUCAACCAAGCACUAUAGGCAGAGACCCAGGAAAACUGACUUUGGUAAGAAUUCCUGCCUUCUGCCAGCUUUUGUCAGUUCUCCCAGGAUUACGUCCUCAGGCUCCAGAGCAAGUGGAGCAACCCAGUCUUUGUUUGAGAUAGGGGUCUUGCUGAGUGGCCCAGACUGGUCUUGAUCUGCUAGGCUUAAGUAAUCCUCCCACCUCAGCCUCCUCAGUAGGCAUCCCUGUCUUUUAGAUUUCCAAAUUUAAUCCAAGAAACUGUAGAGAGAGAAAAACUCCACCUCCAUCCUCUUAGGAUCCUGGCUGAGUCUGAAAAUUAAAUUGACAUAAAGUAUAUCAAUAGAAGAAAAGCUUACAAAUCUAUUUAAUACAAGUUUUAUAUUGCAUGGUCACCUUCAUAAAGAAAUGAAGACCUGAAGAAGGAGUUAAGUGUCAGUUACUUAACAUACUGAAUUGGACAAAGAAUAGUAAAUUGUGAAGACACAGCUAAAUUAUUGGGGGGGGGGUGGCGCUUAAAAUAUAAGAAUUAUUUUAACAGGUCUGUAUAGAAUUCUCUUGGUCUUGCUUCUUGUCCUUGAGGAUAAGGAUGUUGCAUCCUUCACAUGGGAAUUUCAUCUUCUGCUUUUAAGAAACAACACAGAGGUCGGAGUGAUCUUUUUGUAACUACUGUUUUUCAAAUGCCUUUCACCUAAAUAGUCAAUAGUCAGAAUGUCAUAUUUUUUAACUCCUUCAAUCCUAAGAUGCAACGUUAUCACUAAGGAAGAAAUAAAGCUGCCUAUACA